Molecule: ribosomal RNA, 2535 nt
Filed under: Enterobacter hormaechei
Lineage: Bacteria; Pseudomonadati; Pseudomonadota; Gammaproteobacteria; Enterobacterales; Enterobacteriaceae
Description: bacterial LSU rRNA
Rfam family: Bacterial large subunit ribosomal RNA
Source: RNAcentral
AGCGUACACGGUGGAUGCCCUGGCAGUCAGAGGCGAUGAAGGACGUGCUAAUCUGCGAAAAGCGCCGGCGAGGUGAUAUGAACCUUUGACCCGGCGAUGUCCGAAUGGGGAAACCCAGUGCAAUCCGUUGCACUAUCGUUAACUGAAUACAUAGGUUAACGAGGCGAACCGGGGGAACUGAAACAUCUAAGUACCCCGAGGAAAAGAAAUCAACCGAGAUUCCCCCAGUAGCGGCGAGCGAACGGGGAGCAGCCCGGAGUCUGAAUCAGCUUGUGUGUUAGUGGAACGGUCUGGAAAGUCCGACGGUACAGGGUGAUAGUCCCGUACACGAAAGCACACUUGCUGUGAACUCGAAGAGUAGGGCGGGACACGUGGUAUCCUGUCUGAAUAUGGGGGGACCAUCCUCCAAGGCUAAAUACUCCUGACUGACCGAUAGUGAACCAGUACCGUGAGGGAAAGGCGAAAAGAACCCCGGCGAGGGGAGUGAAAAAGAACCUGAAACCGUGUACGUACAAGCAGUGGGAGCCUCUUUAUGGGGUGACUGCGUACCUUUUGUAUAAUGGGUCAGCGACUUAUAUUCUGUAGCAAGGUUAACCGUAUAGGGGAGCCGAAGGGAAACCGAGUCUUAACUGGGCGUUAAGUUGCAGGGUAUAGACCCGAAACCCGGUGAUCUAGCCAUGGGCAGGUUGAAGGUUGGGUAACACUAACUGGAGGACCGAACCGACUAAUGUUGAAAAAUUAGCGGAUGACCUGUGGCUGGGGGUGAAAGGCCAAUCAAACCGGGAGAUAGCUGGUUCUCCCCGAAAGCUAUUUAGGUAGCGCCUCGUGAACUCAUCUUCGGGGGUAGAGCACUGUUUCGGCUAGGGGGCCAUCCCGGCUUACCAACCCGAUGCAAACUACGAAUACCGAAGAAUGUUAUCACGGGAGACACACGGCGGGUGCUAACGUCCGUCGUGAAGAGGGAAACAACCCAGACCGCCAGCUAAGGUCCCAAAGUCAUGGUUAAGUGGGAAACGAUGUGGGAAGGCACAGACAGCCAGGAUGUUGGCUUAGAAGCAGCCAUCAUUUAAAGAAAGCGUAAUAGCUCACUGGUCGAGUCGGCCUGCGCGGAAGAUGUAACGGGGCUAAACCAUGCACCGAAGCUGCGGCAGCGACGCUUAUGCGUUGUUGGGUAGGGGAGCGUUCUGUAAGCCGUUGAAGGUGUNNNNNNNNNNNNNNNNNNNNNNNNNNNNNNNNNNNNNNNNNNNNNNNNNUUAACGCUGAGGUGUGAUGACGAGGCACUACGGUGCUGAAGUGAUAAAUGCCCUGCUUCCAGGAAAAGCCUCUAAGCAUCAGGUAACACGAAAUCGUACCCCAAACCGACACAGGUGGUCAGGUAGAGAAUACCAAGGCGCUUGAGAGAACUCGGGUGAAGGAACUAGGCAAAAUGGUGCCGUAACUUCGGGAGAAGGCACGCUGAUAUGUAGGUGAAGUCCCUGCGGACGGAGCUGAAAUCAGUCGAAGAUACCAGCUGGCUGCAACUGUUUAUUAAAAACACAGCACUGUGCAAACACGAAAGUGGACGUAUACGGUGUGACGCCUGCCCGGUGCCGGAAGGUUAAUUGAUGGGGUUAGCGGCAACGCGAAGCUCUUGAUCGAAGCCCCGGUAAACGGCGGCCGUAACUAUAACGGUCCUAAGGUAGCGAAAUUCCUUGUCGGGUAAGUUCCGACCUGCACGAAUGGCGUAAUGAUGGCCAGGCUGUCUCCACCCGAGACUCAGUGAAAUUGAACUCGCUGUGAAGAUGCAGUGUACCCGCGGCAAGACGGAAAGACCCCGUGAACCUUUACUAUAGCUUGACACUGAACACUGGUCCUUGAUGUGUAGGAUAGGUGGGAGGCUUUGAAGCGUGGACGCCAGUCUGCGUGGAGCCAACCUUGAAAUACCACCCUUUAAUGGCUGGUGUUCUAACGUAGACCCGUAAUCCGGGUUGCGGACAGUGUCUGGUGGGUAGUUUGACUGGGGCGGUCUCCUCCCAAAGAGUAACGGAGGAGCACGAAGGUUGGCUAAUCCUGGUCGGACAUCAGGAGGUUAGUGCAAUGGCAUAAGCCAGCUUGACUGCGAGCGUGACGGCGCGAGCAGGUGCGAAAGCAGGUCAUAGUGAUCCGGUGGUUCUGAAUGGAAGGGCCAUCGCUCAACGGAUAAAAGGUACUCCGGGGAUAACAGGCUGAUACCGCCCAAGAGUUCAUAUCGACGGCGGUGUUUGGCACCUCGAUGUCGGCUCAUCACAUCCUGGGGCUGAAGUAGGUCCCAAGGGUAUGGCUGUUCGCCAUUUAAAGUGGUACGCGAGCUGGGUUUAGAACGUCGUGAGACAGUUCGGUCCCUAUCUGCCGUGGGCGCUGGAGAAUUGAGGGGGGCUGCUCCUAGUACGAGAGGACCGGAGUGGACGCAUCACUGGUGUUCGGGUUGUCAUGCCAAUGGCACUGCCCGGUAGCUAAAUGCGGAAGAGAUAAGUGCUGAAAGCAUCUAAGCACGAAACUUGCCCCGAGAUGAGUUCU